UUUUUCUUCUCCUUCGACAGUAGCCCCUUGUGUUGCCGAUGCCGCCUUGCUGCCCGGCGGUGUAAGGCAACGGUGGUGCUCCUCCUUCUCCCCUUUCUUCUCUUUUUUCCUCAGUUUUUUUUCUCUUGCUGUUUUUUAUUCUUUUCUUUGUUGCUUGGCUUGUUUGGGUUGUAGGUAAUGGUGGUAGAGGUGUCACGGUGGCAGUGCGGCGGCGAUGGUUGCGGGAGGAGGUUUUGGGUUGCUAUUUUUUGAAUAUUUUACUGCUAUUUUUUUUUGCUGCCAAAACUGAACCCCCCUCUCUUCCUCUCAUCUUCUUCUUUUAAAUCCUUCAAUUUUGUCUUCUUUCCUUUGUUUUCAGGCGGUAGGGGAGCAUCAUUGGCCUAGGGAGGCUGCUGGAGUAGCUAGAGGUGGGUGGAGCACGCUUGGCUGCCGACUGGCAGAUUUGACAUGUCCAGGAGGACCAAAUUGUAAAGGUGUAAAGUUUUCGGGGUAAAAAUGUAAUUUUAGAAAAAUAUGGGGCUAAAAUGUAAUUUUUAGAAAUUUUAGGGGUCUGAAUGUAAUUUAUAUUUUUUGUAUUUUUUUCUGAUUUAUUAUUUUUUUAUUAAUAUUUUUAAAACAUAAAAAACAAAAUAAAACAAUGGGCCAAAGCCCAAACAAGUCCAAAAUUAAAUUAUUUAAAACCCAAUUAUCCAACCCUACCUGCCCACCCAUUGGGC
RNAcentral lists this long non-coding RNA (716 nucleotides) under Gossypium raimondii (Peruvian cotton). RNAcentral's name for it is "long non-coding RNA (GRAI_LNC009169)". The record is from RNAcentral. Lineage: Eukaryota; Viridiplantae; Streptophyta; Magnoliopsida; Malvales; Malvaceae.